RNAcentral lists this ribosomal RNA (532 nucleotides) under Enterobacter cloacae. Its description in RNAcentral is "partial 16S ribosomal RNA". It matches the Rfam family "Bacterial small subunit ribosomal RNA", at positions 560 to 1091 of the family's 1533-position model. The record is from RNAcentral. Lineage: Bacteria; Pseudomonadati; Pseudomonadota; Gammaproteobacteria; Enterobacterales; Enterobacteriaceae.
CGUAAGCGCACGCAGGCGGUCUGUUAGUCUGAUGUGAAAUCCCCCGGCUCAACCUGGGAAGUGCAUUGGAAACUGGGAGCUUGAGUCUUGAAGAGGGGGGUGGAAUUCCAGGUGUAGCGGUGAAAUGCGUAGAGAUUUGGAGGAAUACCGGUGGCGAAGGCGACCCCCUGGACUGAAACUGACACUGAGGCGCGAAAGCGUGGGGAGCAAACAGGAUUAGAUACCCUGGUAGUCCACGCCGUAAACGAUGACUAUUUGGAGGUUGGGGCCUUGAGGCCCGUAUUGCUGAGCUUACCCGUUUAAUCAAUCCCCCGGGGAAUACCGGCCCCAGGAUUGAACUUCAAUGAAUUGGCCGGGGGCCCCCCCAACGGGGGAACAUGGGGUUUAAUUUCAAGCCACCCCAAAAACCUUUCCUGGGCUUGACCUUCCCAUAAAUUACUGUAAAUAUUUUGGUGCCUUUUCGAACUGUGAGACAAGUGGUGCAUGGUUGUCGUCAUCUCGUGUUGUGAAAUGAUGGGUUAAUUCCCCCACA